This is a non-coding RNA of Pelobates cultripes (western spadefoot toad), 251 nucleotides long. NCBI's taxonomy places the organism in Eukaryota, Metazoa, Chordata, Amphibia, Anura, Pelobatidae. The record is from the annotation of a GenBank genome assembly.
CAUUAUAGUUGCGCAGGCACUUUCUUGACUCUAGAGAACCUCGGGCCAAUCGCACAUCACCGUGACGGCGACUUUGCAUUCGGAUGUCAUCCAUAUCAACUUUCAAUGCCAGUUUCUGCGCCUACCAUGGUGACCACAGGUAACGGGGAAUCAGGGUUGGAUUACGGAGAGGGAAACUGAGAAACAGCUACCACAUGCAAGAAAGGCAGCAGACGCGCAAAUGACCCACUCCCAAUGCGGGAAGGUAGUGA